Long non-coding RNA from Rhagoletis zephyria (snowberry fruit fly), 1738 nucleotides. RefSeq lists it as uncharacterized. The record is from RefSeq and is a predicted model, not a curated record. NCBI's taxonomy places the organism in Eukaryota, Metazoa, Arthropoda, Insecta, Diptera, Tephritidae.
UAAAGAGCUAGCUGAAAUAUUAAAUUGUGAUUAUCAAAAAGUGUGUAUCAAACGCAGAACAAAUAGAUUAGGUGGACGCGGAUUGUGCCAAACUUAAAAGCAGUGCAAGUGAAUGUUUACUAAAUUUUUGAUAUAGUGGAAAUCAGAAAGAAGCCGAUAAAAAGCUUCAAAAGUGCAUUGUGCAAUAGGAGAAAUGUAAAUAAAACUUUGUGUAUUUGGCGCAACGAUUUUUGUGAACCGAAAAGGAUGCGUCAUUUUCCAGUAGAUUCUAUUUUCAACCGUUUUUAAAUUGUUUUGCUAACAACAGUUUUUGUGUUCGUGUACUUGUGGCGCAUUGUUGAGGUAAACCGAGAAAUUGACGUGAAUAGUAAAGCUCUCCGCCAAACAGGCGCAACACGUCAGAUGGCAUAAAUUAGCAUCGCCUAAAUUGCCCUGAGCGGAUGACUGCAAAUACCAAAACAUCAAUAAACCCGCAUUGAACCCCAAUCCACGAAACUGCAAACACCCGCACAUACAUCGAUGCCUACAUAGACGCAGGCGCCCAGAGCGAUUGUUGAAAGCGGGCAAACGUUUAUCAUGCUGCAUAUUUCGCAUUCAGAAUUUAACAUCACCAUCAGCGGUGCCAAAGUUGAUUACUACGGCGACCUCGUCAGCGGCAGUGUGGCUGGAGUAAGCUUAAAUCGCAUUUGAAAGAGUGGAAUUUUCUCAGUACAAGUGGCAACGUGACGACGUAAAAGCUUCGUUAGCAUCGUAUUUCGGAAAGCGUGCUGAGGACUUAAUCCCUUUACCCAUUCAACAAACACACCUCGCCCCCCGCAUUGUUGCCAUCCAUUGAACCAAAUAUACAUCCGAACCCAAACGCCCACCGUUAUUAUCGCUGCAAGCACAAUUCAGUUUUCCAUUAUACCCAUUUAACCUCUUUUAUUUGAAUUUACUGUUCCAUUCGUCUCGACUUAAGCGCCGUCAUUCGCAUUCGCAGUUUUUCUUAAGGGGAUUUGUUAAAAAAGCUGGCUAUAGCGUUCCCUUUAAAUCAGUCAGCCACUAGAACGUUACAAGCGCAUUGUCCACACAAAAGUGCUCAGCGAAGGAUUGGAAGCGGGGCACUGAGAGCUAGAGAGGAGCUGGUUGUGGUGGCGGUGCAGUUAGCAGCUGGCAGCCAUAAUUUUUUGUUGGUGUAAUAAAAAUCGUCGUACACGUAAUUCGUGUUGCUUAUGUCGGAACAUGCCAAUAGAUAUGCAAAAAAACGUCUCCGUACAAGUUGAUAGUGAUUUUGCUUUACUUCUGCCUAGCGGUGUUUACGAGAUUAAGAAAAUGGAACCACGCUCCAAAAUACGAACAAUUAUUUUAUUCUGCCUAUUUUUGGCAAUUGCUGGUAUUAUUGGAUUCGGAUACUUCUGUCAAGAUCAGUACGCUUGGUAGGCUAACGAAAACAAAUUUUUUAAUAACCACCCUGGUUUGAGGGCAUACAAUUUUGGAAGGGAGGAUUUUGGCCAAAUUAAAACUUCUGUCAUGUCGAAUCCCUGAAAACAGCCAAAAUCGCUUUUUCUUGUUUGUUUAGGACCCGAUUUAGAAGUGCGACUGACUUCGAAAACGUACAGCUGGAAAGCAUUUAUACUUUUUGACUACUUUAUUUAAACUGCAACAGUAUACAUUAUACAAAACCCCAAAAAAUAUAUAUGAUAUUAACUAACUACGUAUGACAUUAGACAUUAGUAAAUAUGCUCGAAAAACAACAAAA